GAUGAACGCUGGCGGCGUGCCUAAUACAUGCAAGUCGAGCGAACGGACGAGAAGCUUGCUUCUCUGAUGUUAGCGGCGGACGGGUGAGUAACACGUGUAUAACCUACCUAUAAGACUGGGAUAACUUCGGGAAACCGGAGCUAAUACCGGAUAAUAUUUUGAACCGCAUGGUUCAAAAGUGAAAGACGGUCUUGCUGUCACUUAUAGAUGGAUCCGCGCUGCAUUAGCUAGUUGUUAAGGUAACGGCUUACCAAGGCAACGAUGCAUAGCCGACCUGAGAGGGUGAUCGGCCACACGGGAACUGAGACACGGACCAGACUCCUACGGGAGGCAGCAGUAGGGAAUCGUCCGCAAUGGGCGAAAGCCUGACGGAGCAACGCCGAGUGAGUGAUGAAGGUCUUCGGAUCGUAAAACUCUGUUAUUAGGGAAGAACAUAUGUGUAAGUAACUGUGCACAUCUUGACGGUACCUAAUCAGAAAGCCACGGCUAACUACGUG
This 497-nucleotide ribosomal RNA is filed under the name uncultured bacterium. Its description in RNAcentral is "partial 16S ribosomal RNA". It matches the Rfam family "Bacterial small subunit ribosomal RNA", at positions 28 to 507 of the family's 1533-position model. The record is from RNAcentral.